Mustela lutreola (European mink) is the source of this 139-nucleotide small nuclear RNA. RefSeq annotates it as U4 spliceosomal RNA. NCBI's taxonomy places the organism in Eukaryota, Metazoa, Chordata, Mammalia, Carnivora, Mustelidae. The transcript has a single exon. The record is from RefSeq and is a predicted model, not a curated record.
AGCUUUGCACAGUGGCAGUAUCAUAGCCAAUGAGGUUUAUCCAAGGCAUGAUUAUUGCUAAUUGAAAGCUCUCUUAAAAAUUCCUGACAUCACUUAUUGUGCCUUCUUUUCCUUUAUCACCUCACCAGGAAUUAAAGAA